GAGUGAACGCUGGCGGUAGGCCUAACCCAUGCAAGUCGAACGGCAGCACAGUAAGAGCUUGCUCUUACGGGUGGCGAGUGGCGGACGGGUGAGGAAUACAUCGGAAUCUACUUUUUCGUGGGGGAUAACGUAGGGAAACUUACGCUAAUACCGCAUACGACCUACGGGUGAAAGCAGGGGAUCUUCGGACCUUGCGCGAUUGAAUGAGCCGAUGUCGGAUUAGCUAGUUGGCGGGGUAAAGGCCCACCAAGGCGACGAUCCGUAGCUGGUCUGAGAGGAUGAUCAGCCACACUGGAACUGAGACACGGUCCAGACUCCUACGGGAGGCAGCAGUGGGGAAUAUUGGACAAUGGGCGCAAGCCUGAUCCAGCCAUACCGCGUGGGUGAAGAAGGCCUUCGGGUUGUAAAGCCCUUUUGUUGGGAAAGUAAAGCAGCAGGUUAAUACCCCGCUGUUCUGACGGUACCCAAAGAAUAAGCACCGGCUAACUUCGUG
RNAcentral lists this ribosomal RNA (493 nucleotides) under uncultured bacterium. RNAcentral's name for it is "partial 16S ribosomal RNA". It matches the Rfam family "Bacterial small subunit ribosomal RNA", at positions 27 to 507 of the family's 1533-position model. The record is from RNAcentral.